This 460-nucleotide ribosomal RNA is filed under the name uncultured bacterium. RNAcentral's name for it is "partial 16S ribosomal RNA". It matches the Rfam family "Bacterial small subunit ribosomal RNA", at positions 338 to 795 of the family's 1533-position model. The record is from RNAcentral.
CCUACGGGCGGCUGCAGUGAGGAAUAUUGGUCAAUGGACGAGAGUCUGAACCAGCCAAGUAGCGUGAAGGAUGACUGCCCUAUGGGUUGUAAACUUCUUUUAUAUGGGAAUAAAACGUUCCACGUGUGGGAUUUUGUAUGUACCAUAUGAAUAAGGAUCGGCUAACUCCGUGCCAGCAGCCGCGGUAAUACGGAGGAUCCGAGCGUUAUCCGGAUUUAUUGGGUUUAAAGGGAGCGUAGGUGGAUUGUUAAGUCAGUUGUGAAAGUUUGCGGCUCAACCGUAAAAUUGCAGUUGAUACUGGCAGUCUUGAGUACAGUAGAGGUGGGCGGAAUUCGUGGUGUAGCGGUGAAAUGCUUAGAUAUCACGAAGAACUCCGAUUGCGAAGGCAGUUCACUGGACUGCAACUGACACUGAGGCUCGAAAGUGUGGGUAUCAAACAGGAUUAGAUACCCUGGUAGUC